CCUACGGGUGGCAGCAGUCGGGAAUAUUGCGCAAUGGAGGAAACUCUGACGCAGUGACGCCGCGUAUAGGAAGAAGGUUUUCGGAUUGUAAACUAUUGUCGUUAGGGAAGAGAAAGGACAGUACCUAAGGAGGAAGCUCCGGCUAACUACGUGCCAGCAGCCGCGGUAAUACGUAGGGAGCGAGCGUUAUCCGGAAUUAUUGGGUGUAAAGGGUGCGUAGACGGGAAUGCAAGUUAGCGGUAAAAUCGCGGGGCUCAACCUCGCUCCGCCGUUGAAACUGGCGUUCUUGAGUGGGCGAGAAGUAUGCGGAAUGCGUGGUGUAGCGGUGAAAUGCAUAGAUAUCACGCAGAACUCCGAUUGCGAAGGCAGCAUACCGGCGCCCAACUGACGCUGAAGCACGAAAGCGUGGGUAUCGAACAGGAUUAGAUACCCUGGUAGUC
RNAcentral lists this ribosomal RNA (440 nucleotides) under uncultured bacterium. RNAcentral describes it as "partial 16S ribosomal RNA". It matches the Rfam family "Bacterial small subunit ribosomal RNA", at positions 338 to 795 of the family's 1533-position model. The record is from RNAcentral.